GAUGAAGAACGCAGCGAAAUGCGAUAAGUAAUGUGAAUUGCAGAAUUCAGUGAAUCAUCGAAUCUUUGAACGCACAUUGCGCCCGCCAGUAUUCUGGCGGGCAUGCCUGUUCGAGCGUCAUUUCAACCAUCGAGCCCCCGGCUUGUGUUGGGGACCUGCGGCUGCCGCAGGCCCUGAAAACCAGUGGCGGGCUCGCUAGUCACUCCGAGCGUAGUAAUACAUCUCGCUCAGGGCGUGCUGCGGGUUCCGGCCGUUAAAAAGCCUUAUUUACCCAAGGUUGACCUCGGAUCAGGUAGGAAGACCCGCUGAACUUAAGCAUAUCAAUAAGCGGAGGA
RNAcentral lists this unclassified non-coding RNA (335 nucleotides) under soil metagenome. RNAcentral describes it as "partial contains 5.8S ribosomal RNA, internal transcribed spacer 2, and large subunit ribosomal RNA". The stretch from base 1 to 120 matches the Rfam family "5.8S ribosomal RNA", at positions 35 to 154 of the family's 154-position model. The record is from RNAcentral.